Triticum aestivum (bread wheat) is the source of this 1508-nucleotide long non-coding RNA. RefSeq lists it as uncharacterized. The transcript is spliced from 3 exons. The record is from RefSeq and is a predicted model, not a curated record. NCBI's taxonomy places the organism in Eukaryota, Viridiplantae, Streptophyta, Magnoliopsida, Poales, Poaceae.
UCUGUGAUCCAACAACAAGCAGUCAACUCCUAUGUAGAUCUCCGCCGGCUUCUUCCUUCCCUUUUGUCCGCCCCGACUCCCCUGAUCUCGCCGUCCUCCUCUUACAGAUCCUCCUCACUCCCCAUGCAUGGCCGCCGCCACCUCCCCACCCAUGGCCAUCUGCCCCUCUGCGUCCCGCCACCGCCGCGAUGACAACCUCGUCCCCAGAGGCGGGGACUUCCCUGAAGCGAACCUAGCGGCGUUACAGUUGAUGUGGGUCGGGCGGCGGUCAGAUCUGCCACAGCCAGAACCGGCAUCCUCUUCCUCCCUAUCCAGCUUCCUCCCAAGGAUCCCAUGACGGAGAUCAACGUGGGAGGCUGCUUCCUCCGAUCCCAGACCAACCAUCCGUCGAUGCAGGCCAUGAGAGCCACGUGGGCACACACAUGGCUGCGAUUCAAGCUGCAGCUCGAGAGAUGCAGGGACGCCGCCAUGGAACAGUCAGGGUCUCCCUUAUCCUCCCGUUUCGUCCGAUCCGCCACUGCCAGCCAUUUCCGGCACCCCUGCACCAUGACUGUGAUGCCUAAGAAAAGGACUGGCAAAUAAAAUAGGAAUCCAAACUUGCAAAAUUCUCUUUUACAGACCGCUAGUACUACUGGGACUCUAGGUACAAGGCACAAUGUAAUUGCUCCAAAUACGCUCAUACAAGUUGCAAAAUGAAUUCUCGAAUGUUUCGACCAAUGGUAAGUCACAAGCUUGGUUUGUCUUCAUGUUAGCCUUUGUUUGAUACAAUGGUAAGUCACAAGCUUGGUUUGUCUUCAUGUUGGCCUUUAUUUGAUACGUAAAUGGCCUUCAUAAUGUGCAAUCAUCUACUUGCUUGCAUUAUUGUACUUUUUUUGUUGUUGAAGCACAUACAGUAGGGAAGCCAGAAAUAGAACAAUUUUCUCACCAUUAGAAAUUGUGAACUUGCGCCAGCAUGUAGUUGUUUCGGAGAAGUUUAGUUUGAUUAAUUUAGAUAAUUAUUAUUGUGUUUUAACUACAAAUUCUUUUGUGAAAUUAUCCAAUUCUUUUGGCAUAGCACCUAAUUGUUGAUGGAAUAGUACAACAGGCACACGAAUUUUCUUGCUAGCUGUCGUGGUCAUGACAAUUCGUCAGGAAGAUACCCAUGCAUGCACGAAUAUAGUAAUUAUACUAUUUUCAUGAUAGUGGUUAUAUCUUUCUGCUAAUUAGUCGUUGCGUUGUUCCUUUAUUUUCAUGACUAAGUAUUUUCUAUUUUCAAUUAACUUGAGCUAAAUAAAUUUCUGAUUUCUUCAUAACAGGAUCCAAAGAUUUAGCUGGAAUGGACUCUAGACCACGGACAAUUUAAUCUUCACUCUUAAUUAGGAUGGCACAUUCAGUAUGUUGAAUGUAUGCUAAAUUAUAUUACAGUUUAUUGUGAUGGAUAUCGGCUAUGCAAACUUUGAUGUUUGAUGAAUCUACAUCAUAUAUGCAUUAUUUGAAUCAUGUAAUUGAAUGCCAGUAUUUUUUUCUGA